This 29-nucleotide ribosomal RNA is filed under the name Solanum spegazzinii. The record is from RNAcentral. Lineage: Eukaryota; Viridiplantae; Streptophyta; Magnoliopsida; Solanales; Solanaceae.
CCCCUCGGAAGUCCUCGUGUUGCAUCCCU